CCUACGGGAGGCUGCAGUGAGGAAUAUUGGUCAAUGGGCGGAAGCCUGAACCAGCCAAGUAGCGUGCGGGAUGAAGGCCCUACGGGUCGUAAACCGCUUUUGCACGGGGAUAACACCCUCCACUUGUGGAGGUCUGCAGGUACCGUGCGAAUAAGGGCCGGCUAAUUCCGUGCCAGCAGCCGCGGUAAUACGGAAGGCCCGAGCGUUAUCCGGAUUCAUUGGGCUUAAAGGGAGCGUAGGCGGGCGUUCAAGUCAGCUGUAAAAUCGCGCGGCUCAACCGCGCCCCGCAGUUGAAACUGGACGCAUUGAGUUCACAACAGGCAGGCGGAAUUCGUGGUGUAGCGGUGAAAUGCAUAGAUAUCACGAGGAACCCCGAUUGCGAAGGCAGCCUGCCGGGGUGCGACUGACGCUGAGGCUCGAAGGUGCGGGUAUCAAACAGGAUUAGAUACCCCAGUAGUC
Molecule: ribosomal RNA, 459 nt
Filed under: uncultured bacterium
Lineage: Bacteria
Description: partial 16S ribosomal RNA
Rfam family: Bacterial small subunit ribosomal RNA
Source: RNAcentral